UACUUUGCACGGCUUCUUCAAAGGUAACUGAUUCACAAUCAGCAAAUAGACAAAGAAGAGUUAGGUCUUCUAACCUUUCAGUGUCUUCAUAAAUGUCUUCCAAACUCCUUGCUCGUUCCUCGCUCCUUUCAUUCAGAAACGAUGGUGGCGAGUCAUCUUGAACUGCUGUUGGCGAGGUAGGUGGAGUAGUUAGCUCUCGAUGGGCAUCCUCUGUUAGGUCUUCUAACCUUUCAGUGUCUUCAUAAAUGUCUUCCAAACUCCUUGCGCGUUCCUCGCUCCUUUCAUUUAGAAACGAUGGUGGCGAGUCUU
RNAcentral lists this long non-coding RNA (309 nucleotides) under Nicotiana benthamiana. RNAcentral describes it as "long non-coding RNA (NBEN_LNC024432)". Lineage: Eukaryota; Viridiplantae; Streptophyta; Magnoliopsida; Solanales; Solanaceae. The record is from RNAcentral.